This 786-nucleotide long non-coding RNA is filed under the name Marmota monax (woodchuck). The record is from RNAcentral. Lineage: Eukaryota; Metazoa; Chordata; Mammalia; Rodentia; Sciuridae.
CACGGAGCAGUUCAGAAAGAAGGAAGACUCUGUUCUUGACCACCCAGGGACAAGGGCAGCCACAGAGCAGAUGAGGAGCAUGAUAUGCUAGCCUGCAGACUCCAGCCAGCUCGCUCCAAAAGGGAGCAGGAGAGAGGAGGAAGAGACCGGGAGGGCUGGAGUGGGGGAUGGAGAGAGAAGAGGAGGUGGAGGCUGUGAUCCAGCUGUAAUAGUCCCAGCUGGAAACAGAAGCCACCCUCAAGCUGGAUAAUGGAGGCGAAUUUAAUAAAGGCACCAUUGACAAGGUGGAGGCAAGAGGCAAGGGGAGAGAGAGGGGACCGAGCGCCACCCCAGAGCCUGCAGCAACCCGGGGCUGCCACCCUGCCUAGACCUGAAGGUCCUCUAAAGCCACCGCACAGAAGUCAGCCUCUUAGCCUUCGUCGUGUCGCCCGGAAACACCGCGCUCUGUUAGAAGACAGGAUAGAAACGACCGAGUGACUAAUCUAAAUUAAGCACUGAUGUAGCUCAAUUCUGUCAUCGGACUGUACAUUUUUACGUGGGUGAAUGGGAUGGUAGGCGGCUAACAUCUCAAUAACACCUCAAAUAUAGAAAAUAACAAAAAAAAAUUUUUUUUGAUAGAAAAUAUGCACCUUCCAAACUUCCAAAUUCUAACACCGGUUGUCUCCAACAGGUUGGGAUUAUGGAGCUUGUGAUUUUUUUCUUAUUAAUGUGUUUCAAUUGUUUUCCAAAUAUUCUACAAUUUGAACACUAUUUCUUAAUUAAAAAUCCAUUCUACUGUCAUGUAUA